This 166-nucleotide ribosomal RNA is filed under the name uncultured bacterium. Its description in RNAcentral is "partial 16S rRNA". It matches the Rfam family "Bacterial small subunit ribosomal RNA", at positions 355 to 511 of the family's 1533-position model. The record is from RNAcentral.
UAGGGAAUCUUCGGCAAUGGGGGGCAACCCUGACCGAGCAACGCCGCGUGAGUGAAGAAGAUUUUCGGAUCGUAAAGCUCUGUUGUAAGAGAAGAACGUGUGUGAGAGUGGAAAGUUCACACAGUGACGGUAACUUACCAGAAAGGGACGGCUAACUACGUGCCAG